Small nucleolar RNA from Astatotilapia calliptera (eastern happy), 77 nucleotides. Ensembl annotates it as small nucleolar RNA SNORD101. NCBI's taxonomy places the organism in Eukaryota, Metazoa, Chordata, Actinopteri, Cichliformes, Cichlidae. The record is from Ensembl.
GCAUGACUGAUGAUCCCAUCUUUUGUCGGAUACCCCUUCACUCUACAAUGAGUGAGACGCUCGCCGCUCUGACAUGC